Molecule: ribosomal RNA, 622 nt
Filed under: uncultured bacterium
Lineage: Bacteria
Description: bacterial SSU rRNA
Rfam family: Bacterial small subunit ribosomal RNA
Source: RNAcentral
UUGGGGGGGUAACGGCCCACCAAGGCGACGACGGGUAGCCGGCCUGAGAGGGCGACCGGCCACACUGGGACUGAGACACGGCCCAGACUCCUACGGGAAGCAGCAGUGGGGAAUAUUGCACAAUGGGGGAAACCCUGAUGCAGCGACGCCGCGUGCGGGAUGAAGGCCUUCGGGUUGUAAACCGCUUUCAGCAGGGGCGAAUUCAGACGGUACCUGCAGAAGAAGCGCCGGCUAACUACGUGCCAGCAGCCGCGGUAAUACGUAGGGCGCGAGCGUUGUCCGGAAUUAUUGGGCGUAAAGAGCUCGUAGGCGGCCUGUUGCGUCCGCUGUGAAAUCCCAGGGCUUAACCCUGGGCCUGCAGUGGAUACUGCGAGGCUAGAGGCCGGUAGGGGGACGUGGAAUUCCUGGUGUAGCGGUGAAAUGCGCAGAUAUCAGGAGGAACACCGGUGGCGAAGGCGGGUCUCUGGGCAGUAACUGACGCUGAGGAGCGAAAGCGUGGGGAGCGAACAGGAUUAGAUACCCUGAUAGUCCACGCCGUAAACGUUGGGCGCUAGGUGUGGGGCUCAUUCCACGAGUUCCGUGCCGCAGCUAACGCAUUAAGCGCCCCGCCUGGGGAGUACGG